This is a long non-coding RNA of Zingiber officinale, 1715 nucleotides long. RefSeq lists it as uncharacterized. The transcript is spliced from 3 exons. Lineage: Eukaryota; Viridiplantae; Streptophyta; Magnoliopsida; Zingiberales; Zingiberaceae. The record is from RefSeq and is a predicted model, not a curated record.
UAUAUUUUUAAUUAUAUUUCUUAUGUCAUAACUUUUAGUGUUAUAAUUUAUUUUUUGGUAGGAUUUUUGAAAAUUUAUAUUCUGAAUUGUCGACACAUGAGUUUGAUCUGUUAUGCCAAGAAGAAUUCACACCAUGGUUCAAAUCAUAUGUAAGUAAACACUUUAAAUUUGGUUAAUACAUAUAUAGACUUUUAACAAUUACUGUAUUUGAUUUUAGGUUCAUGAUAAUCGAGCUCACCUUGAAAAAGAAAUGUUAUUCCAUCUUUUAUGGAGUCCAAAAGCAUGGGUACGCACUUGGCCAACUUAUUUUAUAAAUGGUUAUAAUUUUCAUACUCAAGAGUAUGGGAUGGGGAAGAGUGCAAUGAAUAGUGGGGUUUGUGUCCAAUCAUCCAAUGAUGGAGGUGUAAGCGAUGAUUUUUAUGGUUUGCUGGAUGAAAUUAUAGAGGUAGAAUAUCAUGGGCCAGAAAUGUGAGUAAUAUUAUUUAUGUGUCGCUGGUUUGACCCUAUCAGAGGGAUGAAGGUGCAUCCACGAUAUAAUUUGGUUGAAAUAAAUCAUAAGAGAUUAUAUAAGAAAUAUGAACUAUUUGUGUUGGCACAACAAGCAAUUCAAGUAUUUUAUGUUUUAUAUCCUAGUUUGAAACAUGGCAAAAUUGAUUGGUGGGCGGUUUGUAAAACAAAAGCAUGGAAAAAAAAUUGAAGCGCAUUGGGAAGACACAGCAAGAGAAAGUUGUGAAUACAUUUCAGACCGAGGAAUAUAUAUUAUUCCAACAUUACGAGAUCCUAGCGGAGUAGUGAUACACGUGGAUGCAAAUGAAAUUGAUGAUGAUGUGGAGGAAGAGGAAGAGGAAGAGGAAGAGGAAGAGGAGGAUGAUGACGACGUGGAUGAGGAUGACAAUGACAAUGAGGACUUCAAUUGUUAAUGAUUGGUAAGUUUUGUUAUCUUAAUAUAAAAUAAUUAUGUCUUUAAUUUACAUAUAAGGUACUAAUUUUUUUAUUAUUUUUUAAAAUCUAUAACUUUAAAACAAUCGUAGCUCAAUUGUUUGUAUAUCUAAUAACUCAUUAUUAAACAUAUAUAUUAUGUGUUAAUGCUAUGUAUUUCUUGCUAUAUAUUAUAGGUGAUAUCUAUCAUCAAAGGAAUCUCACACAAUCUCUUUUAAUAAAUAUGAACAUCUUUAGACCCGGGGGGGGGGGGCGUAUACGAAGUUUGCAUGGCCAAGCAACACCUAGCAGUGAACCUACGCCUGUCCCUGAUCAGCCUGUAGGACUUUCACCUUCGCCAGUACAGCCAGGAACAUCACAUUUCCCUACGCUAGGCAGGACCAUCACAUUCUCCUUCGACAGUACAUGUAGGACCUUCACAUUCGCCUUCGCCAGUACAUGCAGGACCAUCACAUUCUCCUUUGCCAGGACCUGCACCGCAAGAUUUGGCAGAUUCGGUUCCUACCAGAUACUCAUUUUCUGAGGUCCAAGAUGUUCGAAUAUUUAUUGUCCCUUACGGAGAUUCGAAGAAGAUGGAGAAGAUGCAGAAGAUUUAGUCAUGUUUGGAAUUUUGUUGAAAUAUGGAUGGUUUAGAACUUCUUAUGAUGUUUGGAUUUUGAUGUAUUAUAUAUUUGGCUUGUAAGGAUAUUAGAUCAUGUUUGUAUUUUCAUGUAUCAUAUGUUUGGAUUGUAAGGAUAUUAGAUGAUGUUUGCAUUUUAAUGUAUGGAAUGUUUGGA